Molecule: ribosomal RNA, 1343 nt
Filed under: uncultured bacterium
Lineage: Bacteria
Description: 16S ribosomal RNA
Rfam family: Bacterial small subunit ribosomal RNA
Source: RNAcentral
GACGAACGCUGUCGGCGUGCUUAACACAUGCAAGUCGAACGGAAAGGCCCUGCUUUUGUGGGGUGCUCGAGUGGCGAACGGGUGAGUAACACGUGAGUAACCUGCCCUUGACUUUGGGAUAACUUCAGGAAACUGGGGCUAAUACCGGAUAGGAGCUCCUGCUGCAUGGUGGGGGUUGGAAAGUUUCGGCGGUUGGGGAUGGACUCGCGGCUUAUCAGCUUGUUGGUGGGGUAGUGGCUUACCGAGGCUUUGACGGGUAGCCGGCCUGAGAGGGUGACCGGCCACAUUGGGACUGAGAUACGGCCCAGACUCCUACGGGAGGCAGCAGUGGGGAAUAUUGCACAAUGGGCGGAAGCCUGAUGCAGCAACGCCGCGUGCGGGAUGACGGCCUUCGGGUUGUAAACCGCUUUCGCCUGUGACGAAGCGUGAGUGACGGUAAUGGGUAAAGAAGCACCGGCUAACUACGUGCCAGCAGCCGCGGUGAUACGUAGGGUGCGAGCGUUGUCCGGAUUUAUUGGGCGUAAAGGGCUCGUAGGUGGUUGAUCGCGUCGGAAGUGUAAUCUUGGGGCUUAACCCUGAGCGUGCCUUCGAUACGGGUUGACUUGAGGAAGGUAGGGGAGAAUGGAAUUCCUGGUGGAGCGGUGGAAUGCGCAGAUAUCAGGAGGAACACCAGGGGCGAAGGGGGUUCUCUGGGCCUUUCCUGACGCUGAGGAGCGAAAGCGUGGGGAGCGAACAGGCUUAGAUACCCUGGUAGUCCACGCUGUAAACGGUGGGUACUAGGUGUGGGGUCCAUUCUACGGGUUCCGUGCCGUAGCUAACGCUUUAAGUACCCCGCCUGGGGAGUACGGCCGCAAGGCUAAAACUCAAAGGAAUUGACGGGGCCCCGCACAAGCGGCGGAGCAUGCGGAUUAAUUCGAUGCAACGCGUAGAACCUUACCUGGGUUUGACAUGGAUCGGGAGUGCUCAGAGAUGGGUGUGCCUCUUUUGGGGUCGGUUCACAGGUGGUGCAUGCCUGUCGUCAGCUCGUGUCGUGAGAUGUUGGGUUAAGUCCCGCAACGAGCGCAACCCUUGUUCACUGUUGCCAGCACGUUAUGGUGGGGACUCAGUGGAGACCGCCGGGGACAACUCGGAGGAAGGUGGGGAUGACGUCAAGUCAUCAUGCCCCUUAUGUCCAGGGCUUCACGCAUGCUACAAUGGCUGGUACAGAGAGUGGCGAGCCUGUGAGGGUGAGCGAAUCUCGGAAAGCCGGUCUCAGUUCGGAUUGGGGUCUGCAACUCGACCUCAUGAAGUCGGAGUCGCUAGUAAUCGCAGAUCAGCAACGCUGCGGUGAAUACGUUCCCGGG